CACAAGGUGAAUGCCUUGGCGCUAGGGGGCGAUGAAGGACGCAGCAAGCUGCGAUAAGCCACGGGAAGCCGCAAGCAGGCCGUGAUCCGUGGAUCUCCGAAUGGGGCAACCCGGUUCCGUUAAUACGGAAUCACCGCCGGAUGAAUGAAUAGUCCGUCGGAGCGAGACGGGGUGAAGUGAAACAUCUCAGUAACCCCAGGAAAAGAAAACGAGUGUGAUUCCGCAAGUAGUGGCGAGCGAAAGCGGAACAGCCUAAACCUCGGCAACUUGUUGCCGGGGGUUGCGGGACCUCGAUAUGGUACGUGAAAGAUUAGUGUAACGGCCUGGAAGGGCCGGCCAUAGACCGUGAUAGCCGGGUGCACGAAAAUUCGACACGACCUAGAGGUAUCCCAAGUAGUGCGGUGCACGUGAAACUCCGCGCGAAUCCGUCCCGACCACGGGAUAAGGCUAAAUACCACCUAGCGACCGAUAGUGAACUAGUACCGCGAGG
This 490-nucleotide ribosomal RNA is filed under the name uncultured bacterium. Its description in RNAcentral is "bacterial LSU rRNA". It matches the Rfam family "Bacterial large subunit ribosomal RNA", at positions 18 to 508 of the family's 2925-position model. The record is from RNAcentral.